GACGAACGCUGGCGGCGUGCUUAACACAUGCAAGUCGAACGGAAAGGCCCUGCUUUUGUGGGGUGCUCGAGUGGCGAACGGGUGAGUAACACGUGAGUAACCUGCCCUUGACUUUGGGAUAACUUCAGGAAACUGGGGCUAAUACCGGAUAGGAGCUCCUGCUGCAUGGUGGGGGCUGGAAAGUUUCGGCGGUUGGGGAUGGACUCGCGGCUUAUCAGCUUGUUGGUGGGGUAGUGGCUUACCAAGGCUUUGACGGGUAGCCGGCCUGAGAGGGUGACCGGCCACAUUGGGACUGAGAUACGGCCCAGACUCCUACGGGAGGCAGCAGUGGGGAAUAUUGCACAAUGGGCGGAAGCCUGAUGCAGCAACGCCGCGUGCGGGAUGACGGCCUUCGGGUUGUAAACCGCUUUCGCCUGUGACGAAGCGUGAGUGACGGUAAUGGGUAAAGAAGCACCGGCUAACUACGUG
RNAcentral lists this ribosomal RNA (468 nucleotides) under uncultured bacterium. Its description in RNAcentral is "partial 16S ribosomal RNA". It matches the Rfam family "Bacterial small subunit ribosomal RNA", at positions 28 to 507 of the family's 1533-position model. The record is from RNAcentral.